Molecule: non-coding RNA, 492 nt
Organism: Zootermopsis nevadensis
Lineage: Eukaryota; Metazoa; Arthropoda; Insecta; Blattodea; Termopsidae
Source: RefSeq, a predicted model, not a curated record
CAGAAGAUCCAGUCAGACCUCUAGAUUCCUAACCUGCCCAACUUCAAAAAUAGACUGUGUUUGGUGCCAGCAGUGUUCAGAAAGCCACACGGCUUGUAUUUCUAGAGUAGCCUAAUAAACUCUCAAUUUGCAGUCAACAUCUAAUAAUUCUUUUAGUUCAUAAGCCUUUACAAAAGAUUAAGCUAAGUGAUAUUAAGAAGAAAAUGAAAUGAGACAAACAAGUCUCAAGAAAUACAGCAGACAAUCGCUAGGAUUCUUUUGGUGGGGACCAAAGGAUUGCAAGAUUUCUGCCUUUACGGAGCUGCCAUGCAUUCAUGGCUCGAGAAGGAUUCGAACACGCUUCCAGCUGCUCAAAACCGUCGGGAAACCUUGAAAUGACUUUGGACAUCACACUGAAUUCUUUAAUGUGAGCCGUUUCUUAAUGGUCACUCUAAGGUCAUAACUUUCAAUAAACGCCUUGAGUGAUUCACAAUGAUUUGCUAAUCAGAAACA